AUGCGCCAUCAGGUCGAGUUAGUUGAUGGAGUGUUUCGCCGUGCCUUUUGGAUCUUUGGCCAAUACAUCGAGGCAUUCACGUAUUGUCGGUCGGUCUUGUCUAUAGAUGGUACAUUCUCAACCGGCAAAUACAAGGGCACAUUGUUGGUGGCAAUGGCCCACUCAUCAAAUGAUAAUGUGUUGCCGAUGGCAUUUGACUUGGGGCCUUUGGAGAACAAUCACAAUUGGGAGUGGUUUAUGGAGCAUGUGAGGACAAAGGUGUUUGGCAAGAGAGAGGUACGCAUUAUAUCGGAUCACCGUCAUGGGAUUCCCAAAGCAAUAGGCGUUGAUAUUCCAGGUAUUCCAAAGCUUCAAAACCAUUGGUUCAUGAGACACUUUGUGGCAAACUUUUACAGGGCAUGCAAGAGUAAUGAGUUCUGUAAAGACCUUACCCAUGUUUGUGUUGCAUUCAACACCGACACAUUCAAAAGCCGAUAUGAUAAACUCCUCAAGGCGUUGGAGAAGAACAUAGGGAGGAAAUAA
RNAcentral lists this ribosomal RNA (522 nucleotides) under Triticum aestivum (bread wheat). RNAcentral describes it as "partial small subunit ribosomal RNA". Lineage: Eukaryota; Viridiplantae; Streptophyta; Magnoliopsida; Poales; Poaceae. The record is from RNAcentral.